GCCUGGGUGGCUCAGUCGGUUAAGUGUCUGACUUCGGCUCAGGUCAUGAUCUCACAGUUUGUGGGUUCGAGCCCCGCGUCGGGCU
This 85-nucleotide transfer RNA is filed under the name Felis catus (domestic cat). It matches the Rfam family "tRNA". Rfam says of the family: Transfer RNA (tRNA) molecules are approximately 80 nucleotides in length. Their secondary structure includes four short double-helical elements and three loops (D, anti-codon, and T loops). Further hydrogen bonds mediate the characteristic L-shaped molecular structure. tRNAs have two regions of fundamental functional importance: the anti-codon, which is responsible for specific mRNA codon recognition, and the 3' end, to which the tRNAs corresponding amino acid is attached (by aminoacyl-tRNA synthetases). tRNAs cope with the degeneracy of the genetic code in two manners: having more than one tRNA (with a specific anti-codon) for a particular amino acid; and 'wobble' base-pairing, i.e. permitting non-standard base-pairing at the 3rd anti-codon position. RNAcentral also lists the same sequence under 2 other names. Lineage: Eukaryota; Metazoa; Chordata; Mammalia; Carnivora; Felidae. The record is from Rfam by way of RNAcentral.